GACGAACGCUGGCGGCGUGCUUAACACAUGCAAGUCGAACGAUGAAGUUCCUUCGGGAAUGGAUUAGUGGCGAACGGGUGAGGAACACGUGAGAAACCUGCCUUUCAUUUUGGGAUAACUCCGGGAAACCGGGGCUAAAACCGAAUACUCCGUCUCGGCGGCAUCGCUGAGCCGGGAAAAAAUUUUGAUGAAAGAUGGUCUCGCGGCCUAUCAGCUAGUUGGUGAGGUAAUGGCUCACCAAGGCAACGACGGGUAGCCGGCCUGAGGGGGUGGCCGGCCACACUGGGACUGUGAACAGGCCCUGACUUCGUCGGGAUGCGGCGGUGGGCGAGAUUGAGAAACGGGCGCAAGACGAACCCCUCGAGGUCGCGUGAGGGAUGAAGGCCUACGGAUUGUAAACCUCUUUCAGUAGGGCAGAGGCGAAAGUGACGGUACAUAAAUAAGAAGCUCCGGAAAACUAGCUGCCAACAGCCGCCGUAA
RNAcentral lists this ribosomal RNA (480 nucleotides) under uncultured bacterium. RNAcentral describes it as "partial 16S ribosomal RNA". It matches the Rfam family "Bacterial small subunit ribosomal RNA", at positions 28 to 523 of the family's 1533-position model. The record is from RNAcentral.